Molecule: ribosomal RNA, 254 nt
Filed under: uncultured bacterium
Lineage: Bacteria
Description: partial 16S ribosomal RNA
Rfam family: Bacterial small subunit ribosomal RNA
Source: RNAcentral
UACAGAGGGAGCAAGCGUUAUCCGGAAUGAUUGGGCGUAAAGCGUCUGUAGGUGGUUUAGAAAGUCCACUGUCAAAUACCAAGGCUCAACCUUGGGCAGGCAGUGGAGUACUUUUAGACUAGAGUGUGGUAGAGGUAGAGGGAAUCCCUAGCGUAACAGUGAAAUGUGUAGAUUUUAGGGAGAACACCAGCGGCGAAGGCGCUCUACUGGGCCAAGACUGACACUGAGAGACGAAAGCUAGGGGAGCGAACAGG